UACAGAGACUGCAAGCGUUAUUCGGAUUCACUGGGCGUAAAGGGUGCGCAGGCGGCCAAGUGUGUGAGGCGUGAAAGCCCGGGGCUUAACUCCGGAAUUGCACCUCAAACUACAUGGCUAGAGCAUUGGAGAGGGUAGCAGAAUUCACGGUGUAGCAGUGAAAUGCGUAGAUAUCGUGAGGAAUACCAGAGGCGAAGGCGGCUACCUGGACAAUUGCUGACGCUCAGGCACGAAAGCGUGGGGAGCGAACAGG
Molecule: ribosomal RNA, 253 nt
Filed under: uncultured bacterium
Lineage: Bacteria
Description: partial 16S ribosomal RNA
Rfam family: Bacterial small subunit ribosomal RNA
Source: RNAcentral